RNAcentral lists this long non-coding RNA (3158 nucleotides) under Homo sapiens (human). Its description in RNAcentral is "HSALNT0234164". The record is from RNAcentral. Lineage: Eukaryota; Metazoa; Chordata; Mammalia; Primates; Hominidae.
GUGAGAUCCUUGGAACAUUUUUACGUCUCUUCUCCCUCUCCACCUAUAACUCCUAGGUUUUCCUGGAAUUCUCUAGGAUUUUAGUCCCAGAUGAUUACUGGAAUUUUCCUUGCUGUAUGUCCCUCCUGUUUCCAAAGGACUUAUGUAGCAUUUACACUACAUAACCCCCAGUAGCCAUGAAUAUCCACUUAACCUGUCUAUACUGGGUUCGUUUUUCAUCAGUAUUGUGUUUCCUCUCAUCUCCCUAUAUCUUGAAGUCUCAAUCUAACUCUCACUUUUGAAGAUCUUUGCUUGAUUAUUUUCUUCAGAUGGGAAUUGCUGGUGGUAUACUCUUCACAUUCUUUUGUGUUAACAGUUUCCUUCUUUUGCCCUGGUGGGUGAAUACCAUCUUGAAUAAGUAGAGGAUCAUAAGUUGUUUUCAGCUUAGCUAUUGGCAAAUGUCAUUUCCAUUGUCUACUGGCUUCCAAUGUUGACAGUAAGAAGUCAGAUGCCAAUUUUCCCCUUUGCAGAUAAUGUGUACUUUCUGUUGAUUAGCUUGUCAGCAUUUUGUUCUGUUUUUGUUUUAAACUUUCAGGAAUCUUACCAGGACAUGCCCAAGUGAGUGUUUUCCUUUAUCAAUCAAGUCUAGAACUCUGGGAGUCAUUUCAAUCUCUAGACUCCAGGGUCUCUUCAGUUUAGGAAUAAUUUUUUGUAUUACACACUUUAUAAUUAUUCCCUCUCCUUUGUUUCCUUUUUUCCUGAGAUUGGUAUCAUUGCUCAUGGUAGGUCUCCUGGAUCCAGCCCCAAGUCUCAUCUUUCCUCUUAUUUGUCCACCAUUUUGCUUGAUCCAUAUGGUUUUCAGGUGCUGGUUCCAUGGCUCUUCCUGAGCCGAAAAUAAGGAAACUCCAUAGACCUUGUCCACUGGAACUCGUUCCCAUCUACCCUCCACUCUAUCCAGCCCCAUGAGGACAAGGAACAUGAUUGGUUUUGCUCACUGCCGUAUCUUCCGUACCUAGUACGUAACAGGACAUCAAUAAAUAUUAGUUGAAUGGAAGAUUAAAUCAACAAAAUGGGUGAUGGAUCUCUGCAGUAAGUGGAAGAGUUCUUCAUGGCCCCCAAGGUUAUAUCCAUCUAGAACUUCAGCACGUAAUUUCAUCUGGAAAUAGUGCCUUUGCGGAUAUAAGUUAGGUAAAACUGAAGAUGAGAUCAUACUGGAUUAGGAUGGGAUCUAAAUCCAAUGAAAAUGUCUUCAUAAAAAACAGGAAAGAACCCAUAGAAACACAAGGAAGAAGGUCAUGUGAAGAUGGAGGCAGAGAUUGGAGGGAUGCAGCCACCGGCCCAGGAAUGCCAGCAGCCACCCAGAAGCUGGAAGGAAAUGAGGGAUUCUCUCCUAGAACCUUUAGAGAGAACAUGGUCCUGUGAACAGCUUGAUUUUGGACUUGCCCAUAGCUUGUAUACUCUUACUUUGGAUACAAUUUUAUCCAAACUUGGCUAAACAGUUUCUCAGCCUAUGGAAAAUUUAAAAUGGAGAAGAUUCAACUCGAUUCUUACAGAUUCAAAGCAAGAAAAUGAUGGGAACAUAGGAGGAGACCAAGAAAGCCUAUAAAAAGCAAAAAUAUGAAGUGAACAUUGUGGUAGCUUUAAGAUGUUUAGUGUAGCUGCAGGCACCCUAUACACAUGAAAACCCCCAAGGGGAAUCCCCAUAUCACAGUGUAGUGUGAUAUUUGACAUUCGUGAUCAUCUAGAGAUGUACAGAAAAGGUGAAUCUGUGUUCUGUAUAUUCUGCCUAAGGCAAAGAAAUGUUUAGCUCUCUUUAAAAUAGUUCCAUAAUUUUUUCUAAAAAGCUUUGCUUGAAAACUGUAAGCUUCCCAUAUCUGGAGCAUUUCACUUUAAAUAUUUGGAUAAAUAUGUUAUCUUCUUACUUGGACAUUUCAUGUGUUUAGGGAUUGUCUUCUAAAUUCUUCCUAAUUCAUAUAGCUGCUAACACUUCCCGCAGAGCUAAACCAUUACAGAUAUGAAAUAAAGACCUAUUGAUUUGACUUACUUUUACUUGUAAAACCUUCUGAGUGUUAUAACCUCAUUUAAUCUUUCAGCAUUUACAGUUUCAAGAGUUUGUGUCACAAUUAGAAGAAUUCAGCUGCACCUCCAAGUGACAGCAGUUGCUCUGGUUGGUGGGUGAUCUCAGGAGGCUUGAGAAUUGCUUUGUCUGUGAGGGAAGUAAGACAUUUUCAGAGCCCCACUUUAGAAGGUGUGAACUGGCUAGAUAAUGAACCCCAGGGCUAACGCUGCUAUAGCAGUGGGAAGGAGGUGAUGGGUUUUCAGUUUGGACCUCAAACAUCAAUACCCUCCUGGUACGGGGAGGAACAGAGUCCCUCCUUUACUUCUCCAUUAGAAAGAAUGAGAUGGCAAGACAAUGAAACAGGCAAAGUGAACAGAGAUGCAAGACAAAAUUCAGGUGAGAGAGCCAGAGCAUCACUCAGCCAUUCCUGACAUGUAAAACAGGCAACUAGAAAUUUGCAGAAAGGAAGCGAAGUCUCCAUAAAGAUGUUUUUAAAGUGAGCUUGAAGUAUUUGGAGACAAUUCAGUGUUACAUAAAAUCUGCAAAUCUCUGGAUAAAGAAGCAGAGAUCCCAGCAUGGGACAAAUGGAGCCUCAAAAGUGGGAAGAAGACAGAGAAGACCAGGGCAGAAUGCAUCUCUUCCUUUCUCUUGGCUUUCCUGGAUAAGGACUGCAUCAUUCCUGUGGAAGGACAGGCCAUCAGCUCCGAAACACUGUAUGUAUUUUCCAGUAUAUACUGCUAGCUGUGUGAUGUUGGGAAAAUUUGUUACCCUGUCUAACCCCCACUUCCCUCAUCUGUAAAAUGGAAAUAAUGAUAGUACCUACCUAUCUCAUAGGUGGCAACUACAAGGGGCAGCACACUCAGGGAAUUAAGGAAGUUUCAGUGAACAUCAACUUUAUGAACACAGUGUUCAUAAAGGCAGGUCAGUGCAGUGGUUUGGGAGCCAGGAGAAGCACGUGGGCCGGAGUGUGCCUGCAGGAGACAAGGUCAGAGAUGUUGCUAAUAAUGGAGAAUAAAGGAUGCAUUCUCAUUACUGACCUUGGAGUCGUUCAUUCAUUCCCAGAAUGUGUUUUGUCAGCUUACUAAAACACUAAGUUAAAUAAUCCCAGGUUUUGUUUAUU